This 93-nucleotide small nuclear RNA is filed under the name Nannospalax galili (Upper Galilee mountains blind mole rat). Lineage: Eukaryota; Metazoa; Chordata; Mammalia; Rodentia; Spalacidae. The record is from RNAcentral.
UUGCUUCAGCAGCACACAUGCUAAAAUUGGAAUGAUAUGGAGAUUAGCACAGCCUCUGGACCAGGAUGUCAGGGAGAAACAUUCUAUAGUUUU